CGAGACACGCCCCGGGCUGGGCGGGAUCUUGGGGCGGCCGGGCUAGUAGGGCUGGAUCAGGCGGAAGCCGGGGCCCGGGGCUGGGCUUCGUGUCCUGCGUUCCGGGAGCGCCAACCCCUCCAGCAGAGGGGACGUGGCUGGUGGCUGGAGAAGCUGGAUUUGCCCUUUGAUGGUGGCCCUCUUGAUCCCCGGCUUGCUGAAGUCAAAAAGCUGGCACGAUGCACCUCCCGCCGACCACCCCGCCACCAGCUCAUCCACUCCCCUGCUGUCCCACUCCACUGCCACCAGGAAGUCUGCGG
RNAcentral lists this long non-coding RNA (299 nucleotides) under Homo sapiens (human). Its description in RNAcentral is "PREDICTED lncRNA (TCONS_00110301)". The record is from RNAcentral. Lineage: Eukaryota; Metazoa; Chordata; Mammalia; Primates; Hominidae.